GAUGAACGCUGGCGGCGUGCCUAAUACAUGCAAGUCGAGCGAACGGACGAGAAGCUUGCUUCUCCGAUGUUAGCGGCGGACGGGUGAGUAACACGUGGAUAACCUACCUAUAGGACUGGGAUAACUUCGGGAAACCGGAGCUAAUACCGGAUGAUAUUUUGAACCGCAUGGUUCAAAAGUGAAAGACGGUCUUGCUGUCACUUAUAGAUGGAUCCGCGCUGCAUUAGCUAGUUGGUAAGGUAACGGCUUACCAAGGCAACGAUGCAUAGCCGACCUGAGAGGGUGAUCGGCCACACUGGAACUGAGACACGGUCCAGACUCCUACGGGAGGCAGCAGUAGGGAAUCUUCCGCAAUGGGCGAAAGCCUGACGGAGCAACGCCGCGUGAGUGAUGAAGGUCUUCGGAUCGUAAAACUCUGUUAUUAGGGAAGAACAUAUGUGUAAGUAACUGUGCACAUCUUGACGGUACCUAAUCAGAAAGCCACGGCUAACUACGUG
Molecule: ribosomal RNA, 497 nt
Filed under: uncultured bacterium
Lineage: Bacteria
Description: partial 16S ribosomal RNA
Rfam family: Bacterial small subunit ribosomal RNA
Source: RNAcentral